Molecule: long non-coding RNA, 640 nt
Filed under: Pan troglodytes (chimpanzee)
Lineage: Eukaryota; Metazoa; Chordata; Mammalia; Primates; Hominidae
Description: long non-coding RNA NONPTRT008148
Source: RNAcentral
GCAAUAAUAAUAAUAACAAUGACAGGCAUUUGUUGCUUGUUGGCCGGGACUCUUGCAUACGGUUCUCCCAACAUCCCUGUGAGGUGGUGAUGCUUAUCCCCAUUCUCCAGGGGAGGAGGCUGAGGCCCAGAGAGGUGAAGUUGUGUGCCACAAAAUACCCCAGCCAUAUGGUGGUAGAACCAAGUUUUCAGCCAGACUCACCAGCUCAAAGCAGAGCUGCCCUGGACUCUACAGCCAUUCAGUGUAUAGCUGGGCCACUCCAUCCUUCAAGGCAGUUCACCGUCAAGAUUCCUGAUUUGCCUCAACCUGGGGCCUCUAGAAGAUACCAUCACCCCCGACAAGCUGAAGACGUGUGUCCGGAACACUCAGACACACACAAAGUGCUAUGGAUACACCACACCCCGACCUAGCUGUCUCUUCCUGAUGGACCUCACUGGGUAGAAAUGCCUGGCACCGCCUGCCUCAGAUCCCUAGGGAGUAUAGGUGGAGCCUCCAGAGCCCAUGGACAGGGCAUGCUGGGGCUGGGCCAGCCCCAGCGGUGUCUCUAAGGCACCCCUGGGAUCCCCACCGAGCUGGCCUACUUCAGACAGCCAGGGCCCUCUGGCCCCCUUAGUGUCCAGCUCGUGGCCCCUUGGCAUUU